Molecule: long non-coding RNA, 483 nt
Organism: Musa acuminata AAA Group (dessert banana)
Lineage: Eukaryota; Viridiplantae; Streptophyta; Magnoliopsida; Zingiberales; Musaceae
Exons: 2
Source: RefSeq, a predicted model, not a curated record
AUGGCCACAGCUUUGUCUAGCAUUUAUUGUCCAUCUAUUGUAACCUCAGGCAGAGGUUCUUGUGAGGAGAAACAAGGAGGAGAACCGAAACCAAUAUAUUGGCCUUCUGGAAGAGACAUGAAUUCUUUGACAACACCACCAUGAGGAAAAAGAAAAGAAGAACAAUAAGAAGAUCUUGGGGUUGCAUGUUGGAUGCUUUACAUGAUAGGAGACAAUCACUACAGACUAACUAUUGAAAACUAGUGAUAUAUGUGUUGGAUGCUUCUUUACAUGAGUGGAUUAUGGCCAUGGAUUGACAAUUAGAAAUCACAAAGUCACAUUUGCUUCAAAAGAACACACACACACACACACUUAAUGAUGUUAAGCAGAUGUGUGUUCAUUAUCUUGUUGUACAUUAGUUGUUGCUUGAAUGGUCAGUGUGUCAAAAACAAGAGCCACCAAUUGAUAGCUCUACAUCAACCAAGCUCUUACAAAGAGACCUCA